This 253-nucleotide ribosomal RNA is filed under the name uncultured bacterium. Its description in RNAcentral is "partial 16S ribosomal RNA". It matches the Rfam family "Bacterial small subunit ribosomal RNA", at positions 524 to 776 of the family's 1533-position model. The record is from RNAcentral.
UACGUAGGGGGCAAGCGUUGUCCGGAAUCAUUGGGCGUAAAGAGCGUGUAGGCGGCCCGAUAAGUCCGCCGUGAAAGUCCAGGGCUCAACCCUGGGAUGCCGGUGGAAACUGUCGGGCUAGAGUCCGGAAGAGGCGAGUGGAAUUCCUGGUGUAGCGGUGAAAUGCGCAGAUAUCAGGAAGAACACCCGUGGCUAAGGCGGCUCUCUAGUACGGUACUGACGCUGAGACGCGAAAGCGUGGGGAGCGAACAGG